RNAcentral lists this transfer RNA (79 nucleotides) under Cotesia vestalis (diamondback moth parasitoid). RNAcentral describes it as "tRNA-Gly". Lineage: Eukaryota; Metazoa; Arthropoda; Insecta; Hymenoptera; Braconidae. The record is from RNAcentral.
AUAUAAUUUUUAUUUAUAUAAUAUAUUAAUAGUAUAUUUAAUUUCCAAUUAAAAAGUUUAAUUAAAUUUAAUAUAAAUA